UGCCAGUGAUAAACUGGAGGAAGGUGGGGAUGACGUCAAGUCAUCAUGGCCCUUACGACCAGGGCUACACACGUGCUACAAUGGCAUAUACAAAGAGAAGCGACCUCGCGAGAGCAAGCGGACCUCAUAAAGUAUGUCGUAGUCCGGAUUGGAGUCUGCAACUCGACUCCAUGAAGUCGGAAUCGCUAGUAAUCGUAGAUCAGAAUGCUACGGUGAAUACGUUCCCGGGCCUUGUACACACCGCCCGUCACACCAUGGGAGUGGGUUGCAAAAGAAGUAGGUAGCUUAACCUUCGGGAGGGCGCUUACCACUUUGUGAUUCAUGACUGGGGUGAAGUCGUAACAAGGUAACCGUAGGGGAACC
RNAcentral lists this ribosomal RNA (363 nucleotides) under Klebsiella pneumoniae. RNAcentral's name for it is "bacterial SSU rRNA". It matches the Rfam family "Bacterial small subunit ribosomal RNA", at positions 1150 to 1512 of the family's 1533-position model. RNAcentral also lists the same sequence under 1 other name. Lineage: Bacteria; Pseudomonadati; Pseudomonadota; Gammaproteobacteria; Enterobacterales; Enterobacteriaceae. The record is from RNAcentral.